GUAUCCUGAGAGGCGCGUGCUUGUCUCCGUCUGCCUCUCCGGAUCCUUCCAUCGACUCGGCAUCUCACCUCUCCCUAGCUCGUCCCUGCUUCCUUGACAACUCGGUUGCUGUGGUAACACCAUGCACCGUGGGGAUACCUCUUUUGUUUUGUCCUGAUGUGUUUUCUGCCUUCCCUUUUUCUUUCCUGCCAUUUAUCACUGAUUCAUUAUCUCGCUCAAAGAAGUAUCUCUCCAGACACCACGCUGACCUGCACCUCCACAGAGUGUUUGGAGGUGAAGGUGAUCUCGGCGCUCACGUGGGCCACCUCGCCAAUGAACAUGGGGUACAGGAAAUCGGUGCGUUCCACUCGUGCCAGGGCGGCGACACAGCGGUCCUGCAAAUGACAAACAUUUGAAGCAGCCUUCUGUGACUAUUCAGGCGUUUUCAGAGAAAGCAGAACUCUAUUCUUCCAAUCAAGUUGAAGCAUUUAUUUUCGAAAAAUCAGUAUGCAUCCCCUCUGCAUCUCAGUUUUAUUCAUCAUGUUGUCUUAAAAUACAUGUUCUUGCAUCCAUUGGUUUGUUAUUGCCUUUUAAAUGAAAAUUGCUCACAAUUACUUCAUGUACAUAAAACUGAAACCAUGAUGUAUUAUACCCUCAAUAAGUACAAAUAAAACAUUUAGAACAUGAGUGAUAGAUCAUAUUAAAAUUCAUUCUAUUCGACUGAAAAAUAAUACCUUUUCAGACGUCUUUAACAAUAAGAUGCUAUGGAGGUGUGUGUGGGGGGGGGGAUACAGGAUUUUGGAUCAUGCUGAAUCAGAUGACAUGGGGGAAGGGUGUUGUUUGCUGUUCUACAAGUGCAUCAAGCUAAAACUGAAUGCAGCAGAUGUUAUACUACAAACGUAGACAUGUUUAGACUGAAAAUUAUUUUAUUCAGCAAACUCUGUGCAUGUACAAACAAUUUUUUAUGUUCUGGUUUUAGAUGUCCUGUAACAUUAUAUUUCCUGCUAUUGUUAUUUUGUAAUUUGUGUAUUUUUAAAUACCGGCAGCUGUGGUUGCCAGAAUUUCAUUGUAAAAAAAUACACUACAACACAUAAUGCAUUACAGUUGGUUGGCACAGAUUCUACUGUCAACAACUGCUUAAGAUAAAUAACUAAGUGAAUAAUAUUGAAAAACCAAUAAACAAAAAUAUCAUUGUCAGA
Molecule: long non-coding RNA, 1178 nt
Organism: Hemibagrus wyckioides
Lineage: Eukaryota; Metazoa; Chordata; Actinopteri; Siluriformes; Bagridae
Exons: 3
Source: RefSeq, a predicted model, not a curated record